Molecule: long non-coding RNA, 1065 nt
Filed under: Equus caballus (horse)
Lineage: Eukaryota; Metazoa; Chordata; Mammalia; Perissodactyla; Equidae
Description: lncRNA (ENSECAG00000036076.2)
Source: RNAcentral
GGGAAGAGAAGUUCUUUUUCUGUUGGGCUGCUGAGGGGCGAUGAGGCCAGCCUGGGAGUGGUGGUGGAGAGGCCCCCUGAGCAGGACAGCAGCACAGAGGGCAGGAAGCCAAGCCAAGAGGCUGGGAGGGACGAUCCCUGCUGAUGGCGUCGAGCACCCAGGAAGAAAAAUCUCUCACAGAAGCCCCCAUAGACUUCCCCUAACGUCUCAUUGGCCAUAAUGAGUCUUUGCCAGGACCAAUCACCAGAGGUGGGGGAGAGGAGGGGUGAGCAGUUGCCCUGACUGGCUUGGACCUACCAUGAUUCCUCCAAAAUGAGCAUCCACGGGAAGAAGGCCAGGUGGAAUGUGCAGAGGCAGCUGUGUGAGCAACCAACUUGAUCCUGCCAUGAAGGAGAAAUGGACAAGGGAGCUGAGGUUUCAAAGACAAGGGGACAGAAGAGCAGGAGGAGCAGCACGUGCAGAUCCUCAGAGAUGCAGAGAGCAGAGCCGCAGAGAUGCAGAGAUGCAGAGAGCAGAGAGCAGAGGCUCAGAGAUGCAGAGAGCAGAGAUGCAGAGAGCAGAGGCGCAGAGAUGCAGAGAGCAGAGAUGCAGAGAUGCCGAGAGCAGAAAGCACAGAUGUAGAGGAGAGAUGCAGAGAGCAGAAAGCACAGACGUAGAGGAGAGAUGCAGAGAGCAGAGAUGCAAAGGCGCAGAGCAGAGAGCUAAGAUGCAGAGGCGCAGAGAUGCAGAGAGCAGAGAUGCAGAGAUGCUGAGAUGCAGAGAUGCACAGGUGCAGAGAGCAGAGGCGCAGAGGCAGGAGGUGAGCCAGCACAGGAUGACUGUGGUUCAUUCCCGCAUGAGCACAGCACAGGUCGGGAGCAGUGGGCGGGGUCUCCUAUUACUUUUGAUGCCUGGAGCGAGGCAGGUCCUGGGCAAUAGGGAGCUACUGAGAGACACUGAGCAGAGAGUGAAGGCAGGCGCAGAAGGAAAUCACAGGUGUGCAGAGGUCCCUGGACUUUGGGAGCUGAGCAGAGCCCUUCUGUGACUGGCAAUAAUGUUGCUGACAAACCGGGAGGCCUCUGCCCC